This is a non-coding RNA of Strongylocentrotus purpuratus (purple sea urchin), 73 nucleotides long. The record is from Rfam. Lineage: Eukaryota; Metazoa; Echinodermata; Echinoidea; Camarodonta; Strongylocentrotidae.
GGCAUGGUGGCUCAGUGGUUAGAGCGCCCGCCUCUUAAAGGGGAGGUCCUGGUUUCGAACCCCGGCCGAGUCA